UGGGGAAUAUUGGACAAUGGGCGAAAGCCUGAUCCAGCCAUGCCGCGUGAGUGAUGAAGGCCCUAGGGUUGUAAAGCUCUUUCAACGGUGAAGAUAAUGACGGUAACCGUAGAAGAAGCCCCGGCUAACUUCGUGCCAGCAGCCGCGGUAAUACGAAGGGGGCUAGCGUUGUUCGGAAUUACUGGGCGUAAAGCGCACGUAGGCGGAUACUUAAGUCAGGGGUGAAAUCCCGGGGCUCAACCCCGGAACUGCCUUUGAUACUGGGUAUCUCGAGUCCGGAAGAGGUGAGUGGAAUUCCGAGUGUAGAGGUGAAAUUCGUAGAUAUUCGGAGGAACACCAGUGGCGAAGGCGGCUCACUGGUCCGGUACUGACGCUGAGGUGCGAAAGCGUGGGGAGCAAACAGGAUUAGAUACCCCCGUAGUCC
Molecule: ribosomal RNA, 424 nt
Filed under: uncultured bacterium
Lineage: Bacteria
Description: bacterial SSU rRNA
Rfam family: Bacterial small subunit ribosomal RNA
Source: RNAcentral